RNAcentral lists this ribosomal RNA (245 nucleotides) under uncultured bacterium. RNAcentral's name for it is "partial small subunit ribosomal RNA". It matches the Rfam family "Bacterial small subunit ribosomal RNA", at positions 26 to 285 of the family's 1533-position model. The record is from RNAcentral.
AGAAUCAACGCUGGCGGCGUGCCUAACACAUGCAAGUCGAACGAGAAAGUGGAGCAAUCCAUGAGUAAAGUGGCGACCGGGUGAGUAACACGUGACUAACCUACCUUCGAGUGGGGGAUAACCUCGGGAAAACCGAGGCUAAUACCGCAUAACAUCGCAAGAUCAAAGCAGCAAUGCGCUGGAAGAGGGGGUCGCGGCUGAUUAGCUAGUUGGCGGGUAACGGCCCACCAAGGCGAAGAUCGGUA